RNAcentral lists this ribosomal RNA (82 nucleotides) under Plasmodium malariae. Lineage: Eukaryota; Apicomplexa; Aconoidasida; Haemosporida; Plasmodiidae. The record is from RNAcentral.
UUUUUACCAUACAAGAGAUCGCGUACUUUGGAUUGAAAAAAGCUGUGAGGAAACUACAUUAAAGGAACUCGACUGGCCUACA